UAUAUUAUUUUUAAUUAUUUCUUGUAAUGAUUGUCAUAAUGUUAAUUCGAAUUAUUACCAAAUAAAACAAAAUUUCGAAAAUAUUCCAAAGUGAUCUGUCAUGCAUUAAUAUUAAUUACUUAUGGGCAUUUUUCCAAGGAAAUCAAAUCCAAUUCAUCACGUGCAACACCUCUCCCAUUUAAUCACCAUUCUUUUCUUUUCAGUUUAUUCCCAUGCACCCCCUUUUUUUCUUUUUUAUUCUUUUUCCUUUUUUCCUUUUGUUUUUCUUUUUCCUUUUUCCUUCUCUUUUUUUUUUCUUUUCCCUUUUUUCUCUUUUAUUCUUUUUCUUUUCUUUUUCUUUUUCCUUUUCGUUUUUUUUUU
Molecule: long non-coding RNA, 360 nt
Filed under: Vigna radiata
Lineage: Eukaryota; Viridiplantae; Streptophyta; Magnoliopsida; Fabales; Fabaceae
Description: long non-coding RNA (VRAD_LNC015297)
Source: RNAcentral